Molecule: long non-coding RNA, 477 nt
Filed under: Pan troglodytes (chimpanzee)
Lineage: Eukaryota; Metazoa; Chordata; Mammalia; Primates; Hominidae
Description: long non-coding RNA NONPTRT004172
Source: RNAcentral
UGCCUCUCGCUAUCCUCUCCGCCGGCGCCCCCUUUCCCGGCGGUCCCCGGGAUGGUCUCCGGCACCCCGAGGUUACGGGAAGUUCGCGGACUGGCGGGAGAAGGGGUUGGGGGGUGGUCCGCGGCGAGGGGAGCGGGGUGCAUCUUCUCUUCCUUUUAUGGGCUGCCACACUUGUGUGUCCCUUCUUCCUUGAAUUUAACCAGGAGUGAGCAGUGGACAGCUUCUGCCCUAUGAGAAGGAGGCGAAGCAGGACCUGAAAUCCCGUGCUCAGCUCCCACAUCCCCCGUGUCCAGGACAAGUCCUUUGCUGAAUCAGCGGCAGACACCACCCGGAGCCCUUUGGGAGCCUUUCCCUGUUCUUCCAGCAUGGAUCUGAAACUCCCUUCCCACUUUCUGCAGCCUCCCAGAGAUAGUUCAGGCUCCAGCCUCAUGUGAUAGCAUGAAGAGAAACUGGUUCCAACAGCUGUGUGCUCUGCUG